This 497-nucleotide ribosomal RNA is filed under the name uncultured bacterium. RNAcentral describes it as "partial 16S ribosomal RNA". It matches the Rfam family "Bacterial small subunit ribosomal RNA", at positions 28 to 507 of the family's 1533-position model. The record is from RNAcentral.
GAUGAACGCUGGCGGCGUGCCUAAUACAUGCCAGUCGAGCGAACAGAUAAGGAGCUUGCUCCUUUGACGUUAGCGGCGGACGGGUGAGUAACACGUGGGUAACCUACCUAUAAGACUGGGAUAACUUCGGGAAACCGGAGCUAAUACCGGAUAACAUUUGGAACCGCAUGGUUCUAAAGUGAAAGAUGGUUUUGCUAUCACUUAUAGAUGGACCCGCGCCGUAUUAGCUAGUUGGUAAGGUAACGGCUUACCAAGGCGACGAUUCGUAGCCGAACUGAGAGGGGGAUCGGCCACCCUGGAACGGAGACACGGUCCAGGCUCCUACGAGAGGCCGCAGUAGGGAAUGUUCCGCAAUAGGCGAGAGCCUGACGGAGCAACGCCGCGUGAGUGAUGAAGGGGUUGCGCUCGUAAAACUCUGUUAUUAGGGAAGAACAAAUGUGUAAGUAACUGUGCACGUCUUGACGGUACCUAAUCAGAAAGCCACGGCUAACUACGUG